UACGGAAGGUCCGGGCGUUAUCCGGAUUUAUUGGGUUUAAAGGGAGCGCAGGCGGCGUGUUAAGCGUGCUGUGAAAUGCACCGGCUCAACCGGUGGAGUGCAGCGCGAACUGGCGCGCUUGAGUAUGGACGAGGAAGGCGGAAUUCGUGGUGUAGCGGUGAAAUGCUUAGAUAUCACGAAGAACCCCGAUUGCGAAGGCAGCCUUCCAGGGCAUUACUGACGCUAAAGCUCGAAGGUGCGGGUAU
This 245-nucleotide ribosomal RNA is filed under the name uncultured Prevotella sp. Its description in RNAcentral is "partial 16S ribosomal RNA". It matches the Rfam family "Bacterial small subunit ribosomal RNA", at positions 524 to 768 of the family's 1533-position model. Lineage: Bacteria; Pseudomonadati; Bacteroidota; Bacteroidia; Bacteroidales; Prevotellaceae. The record is from RNAcentral.